RNAcentral lists this ribosomal RNA (253 nucleotides) under uncultured bacterium. RNAcentral's name for it is "partial 16S ribosomal RNA". It matches the Rfam family "Bacterial small subunit ribosomal RNA", at positions 525 to 776 of the family's 1533-position model. The record is from RNAcentral.
ACGUAGGCACCAAGCGUUAUCCGGAUUUAUUGGGCGUAAAGAGCUCGUAGGCGGUUCGGUAAGUCGGGUGUGAAAACUCAAGGCUCAACCUUGAGAGGCCACCCGAUACUGCUGUGACUCGAGUGCGGUAGGGGAGCGGGGAAUUCCUGGUGUAGCGGUGAAAUGCGCAGAUAUCAGGAGGAACACCAGUGGCGAAGGCGCCGCUCUGGGCCGUAACUGACGCUGAGGAGCGAAAGCGUGGGUAGCAAACAGG